Molecule: ribosomal RNA, 253 nt
Filed under: uncultured bacterium
Lineage: Bacteria
Description: partial 16S ribosomal RNA
Rfam family: Bacterial small subunit ribosomal RNA
Source: RNAcentral
UACGUAGGGUGCAAGCGUUAAUCGGAAUUACUGGGCGUAAAGCGUGCGCAGGCGGUUUUGUAAGUCUGAUGUGAAAUCCCCGGGCUCAACCUGGGAAUUGCAUUGGAGACUGCAGGGCUAGAAUCUGGCAGAGGGGGGUAGAAUUCCACGUGUAGCAGUGAAAUGCGUAGAGAUGUGGAGGAACACCGAUGGCGAAGGCAGCCCCCUGGGUCAAGAUUGACGCUCAUGCACGAAAGCGUGGGGAGCAAACAGG